UUGCUCUCAUUCCUUUAGCAAAAUAUGUAUUUGUAGUGCUUAAAGCAAAUGAUAAUGGGGAAGGAGGAACAUUUGCUCUGUACUCGCUGAUUAGCAGAUAUGCAAAGGUUAGUAUGCUGCCAAAUCGUCAGCCAGCUGAUGAACAUAUCUCAAGUUUUAGGCUCAAGCUGCCCACUCCGGAGUUGGAAAGGGCUUUAAGCAUAAAAGACGCUUUGGAGAAGAAGUCAUUCCUGAAAACAAUUCUUUUGCUGUUGGUUCUGAUGGGAACUUCCAUGGUUAUAGGAGAUGGUAUUCUAACUCCUGCCAUAUCAGUGAUGUCUGCUAUGAGCGGUCUGCAGGGUGAAAUACCUGGAUUUGGCACAACUGCACUGGUUGUUGUCUCGAUCAUAGUGCUUGUGGCUUUGUUCAGCAUCCAACAGUUUGGGACUGGGAAAGUGAGUUUCCUGUUUGCUCCUGUGCUCGCUUUGUGGUUCUUCUCUUUGGCUUCUAUUGGACUUUACAAUAUGGUGACUCAUGAUAUUAGUGUCUUGAGGGCAUUCAAUCCUGCUUAUAUCUAUCUUUUCUUCAAGAAAAACAGCUUAGACGCAUGGUCAGCUCUUGGUGGUUGUGUUCUGUGCAUCACAGGAGCUGAAGCAAUGUUUGCUGAUCUGGGGCAUUUUUCUGUAAAAGCAAUACAGAUUGCAUUCUCUUGCGUAGUAUUUCCCUGUCUUCUCCUAGCUUACAUGGGCCAGGCUUCGUAUUUAAUGAAACACCCGAAAUCUUCAGACAGAAUAUUCUAUGAUUCUGUGCCAGAGAGUCUGUUCUGGCCAGUCUUUGUCAUAGCUACCCUUGCUGCCAUGAUUGCCAGCCAAGCAAUGAUUUCUGCUACAUUUUCAUGUGUUAAGCAAUCUAUGGCUCUUGGAUGCUUCCCAAGGCUGAAGAUAGUUCACACCUCAAGGAGGCUGAUGGGUCAAAUUUACAUCCCUGUUAUAAAUUACUUUUUAAUGAUUAUGUGCAUAGUUGUGGUUUCAAUCUUUCGGAGCACCACGGAUAUCGCCAAUGCAUAUGGCAUAGCUGAGGUUGGUGUGAUGAUUGUGAGUACUACAUUAGUGACACUUGUAAUGCUUCUGAUCUGGCAGACUAAUUUGUUUCUGGCUUUAUGUUUCCCACUUGUUUUUGGGUCAGUAGAACUCAUUUACAUGUCUGCGGUUUUAUCAAAAAUCAAAGAGGGUGGAUGGCUUCCACUUGUAUUUGCCAGUUGUUUCCUUUCUGUGAUGUACAUUUGGAACUAUGGGAGUGUGUUGAAAUACCAGAGUGAGGUAAGGGAAAAGAUUUCCAUGGAUUUCAUGCUUGAGCUUGGUUCCACCCUGGGGACCGUUAGAGUUCCUGGAAUCGGAUUGUUGUACAAUGAGCUUGUCUAUGGUAUUCCCUCGAUAUUGGGGCAGUAUCUACUAAGUCUUCCAGCAAUCCACUCUACUAUAGUAUUUGUUUGCAUCAAGUAUGUCCCUGUUCCGGUGGUUCCUCAAGAGGAGAGGUUUCUUUUCCGAAGAGUUUGCCCAAAAGACUACCAUAUGUUCCGCUGUGUUGCCCGGUAUGGUUACAAAGAUGUCAGGAAGGAAGAUCACCAUGCGUUUGAGCAACUUUUGGUCGAAAGCCUUGAAAAGUUUUUGCGAAGAGAGGCUCAGGAUCUUGCCUUGGAGAGCAAUUUGAACGAGUUGGACAUGGAUAGUGUUUCAGUGACGUCAAAGGAUUCUGGGGCCCCAGCUGGUGACGGGACUGAGGACCUAAGGAUUCCUUUGAUGCAUGAUCAAAGAUCAGGAGAACCUGGGACUUCUGCUUCGGAAGAAGCAUCCUCAGCAUUGCCUUCUAGUGUCAUGUCAUCAGAGGAAGACCCAAGUCUAGAAUAUGAGCUUGCAGCUCUUAAAGAAGCAAAAGACUCAGGAUUUACUUAUCUGCUCGCUCAUGGGGAUGUAAGAGCAAAGAAAAAUUCCUUUUUUCUCAAGAAAUUGGUUAUUAACUACUUCUAUUCAUUCUUGAGGAGGAAUUGUAGAGGUGGCGCAGCCACUAUGCGAGUACCUCACAUGAAUAUCCUGCAAGUUGGGAUGACAUACAUGGUCUAAUUCAUUUGAUCCCCUGCAAUUUGUUGUUGUCGGCCACCUAUUGCGGCCUCUGUGAAACCUCAAUGAACUUUUAGGAAAAUCUUUGUACUUU
This 2190-nucleotide unclassified non-coding RNA is filed under the name Hevea brasiliensis (rubber tree). The record is from RNAcentral. Lineage: Eukaryota; Viridiplantae; Streptophyta; Magnoliopsida; Malpighiales; Euphorbiaceae.